This 382-nucleotide ribosomal RNA is filed under the name uncultured bacterium. RNAcentral's name for it is "bacterial SSU rRNA". It matches the Rfam family "Bacterial small subunit ribosomal RNA", at positions 30 to 410 of the family's 1533-position model. The record is from RNAcentral.
AUUGAACGCUGGCGGCAGGCCUAACACAUGCAAGUCGAGCGGUAGAGAGGUGCUUGCAUCUCUUGAGAGCGGCGGACGGGUGAGUAAUGCCUAGGAAUCUGCCUAGUGGUGGGGGAUAACGUUCGGAAACGGACGCUAAUACCGCAUACGUCCUACGGGAGAAAGCGGGGGGAUCUUCGGACCUCGCGCCAUUAGAUGAGCCUAGGUCGGAUUAGCUAGUUGGUGAGGUAAUGGCUCACCAAGGCGACGAUCCGUGACUGGUCUGAGAGGAUGAUCAGUCACACUGGAACUGAGACACGGUCCAGACUCCUACGGGAGGCAGCAGUGGGGAAUAUUGGGACAAUGGGCGAAAGCCUGAUCCAGCCAUGCCGCGUGUGUGAAG